GUACCCUCAAGCUUUGCUUGGUGUUGGGCGUUUUGUCUUUUUCCUUUAGUGAUUAGACUCGCCUUAAAGUAAUUGGCAGCCAGUGUUUUUUGGUAGUAAGCGCAGCACAUUUUGCGUCUUAGUCCUUAAACAGCGGCAACCAUAAAGCCUCUUUCUCAC
Molecule: unclassified non-coding RNA, 159 nt
Filed under: uncultured fungus
Lineage: Eukaryota; Fungi
Also listed under: 1 other name
Description: sequence contains ITS2
Source: RNAcentral